Molecule: signal recognition particle RNA, 97 nt
Filed under: Pseudomonadota bacterium
Lineage: Bacteria; Pseudomonadati; Pseudomonadota
Description: Proteobacteria bacterium (cold seep metagenome) signal recognition particle sRNA small type
Rfam family: Bacterial small signal recognition particle RNA
About the family: The signal recognition particle (SRP) is a universally conserved ribonucleoprotein involved in the co-translational targeting of proteins to membranes. Archaeal SRP consists of a 7S RNA and homologues of the eukaryotic SRP19 and SRP54 proteins.
Source: RNAcentral
AGGCGGUCCCCUCGCAACGAUAGGUAGUGAAGCCCGCCAGGCCCGGAAGGGAGCAACGGUAGUUACUGAUACGUGUGCCGGGGUGCGGCUGUUUGGG